GCACGGGUGAGUAACACGUAGGUGAAUUGCCCUUUUGUGGGGGAUAACCCGGAGAAAUUCGGGCUAAUACCGCAUGAGCAGAGAGAGAUUGAAAUACUCUUUGGAAAGGUUGCCUCUACUUGUAAGCAACCGCAGAAGGAGAUGCCUGCGUAGCAUUAGCUAGUUGGUGGGGUAAUAGCCUACCAAGGCUACGAUGCUUAGCUGGUCUGAGAGGAUGACCAGCCACACUGGAACUGAGACACGGUCCAGACUCC
Molecule: ribosomal RNA, 254 nt
Filed under: uncultured bacterium
Lineage: Bacteria
Description: partial 16S ribosomal RNA
Rfam family: Bacterial small subunit ribosomal RNA
Source: RNAcentral